Molecule: ribosomal RNA, 482 nt
Filed under: uncultured bacterium
Lineage: Bacteria
Description: partial 16S ribosomal RNA
Rfam family: Bacterial small subunit ribosomal RNA
Source: RNAcentral
AUUGAACGCUGGCGGCAUGCUUUACACAUGCAAGUCGAACGGUAACAGGCCGCAAGGUGCUGACGAGUGGCGAACGGGUGAGUAAUGCAUCGGAACGUGCCCAGUCGUGGGGGAUAACUACUCGCAUGAGUAGCUAAUACCGCAUACGAUCUAUGGAUGAAAGCGGGGGACCGUAAGGCCUCGCGCGAUUGGAGCGGCCGCUGUCAGAUUAGGUAGUUGGUGGGGUAAAGGCUCACCAAGCCAACGAUCUGUAGCUGGUCUGAGAGGACGACCCGCCACACUGGAACUGAGACACGGCCCAGACUCCUACGGGAGGCAGCAGUGGGGAAUUUUGGACAAUGGGCGAAAGCCUGAUCCAGCAAUGCCGCGUGCAGGAAGAAGGCCUUCGGGUUGUAAAAUGCUUUUGUACGGAACGAAACGGCUCUGGUUAAUACCCGGGGCUAAUGACGGUACCGUAAGAAUAAGCACCGGCUAACUACGUG